Molecule: ribosomal RNA, 253 nt
Filed under: uncultured bacterium
Lineage: Bacteria
Description: partial 16S ribosomal RNA
Rfam family: Bacterial small subunit ribosomal RNA
Source: RNAcentral
UACGUAGGUGGCGAGCGUUGUCCGGAUUUACUGGGCGUAAAGGGAGCGUAGGCGGACUUUUAAGUGAGAUGUGAAAUACUCGGGCUCAACUUGAGUGCUGCAUUUCAAACUGGAAGUCUAGAGUGCAGGAGAGGAGAAUGGAAUUCCUAGUGUAGCGGUGGAAUGCGUAGAGAUUAGGAAGAACACCAGUGGCGAAGGCGAUUCUCUGGACUGUGACUGACGCUGAGGCUCGAAAGCGUGGGGAGCAAACAGG